GGGGCUGUUCCGGCAUUCGACGGGGAAUGGCGGGCGGAGUAAGCAUACCGAAGGCUCGUCUUCGUAAAAACGGAAAUUAAAAUUAAACGCAAACAACAACAAAACCGAGAGCGCUCAAACUCUCGCCUUCGCUGCUUAACUUAUAGCGAAGUGUCGGGCGGGUAGGUCCGCGAACCCGUUCCGGCAUCAUCCAGCGGAACAGGGCAACCGCAUCGCCGCGCUGCGGAUUGCAAGACCAGCGGCUCUCCGAUAGGCAGGCUUGCCGUUUGGCCGGCUUAAAGGGAAUAACAACAAUCGGCUAAGUAUGUAGAAGUCGCCGCUUCAAGUUUUUCGGACAGGGGUUCGACUCCCCUCAGCUCCACCA
Molecule: transfer-messenger RNA, 364 nt
Filed under: Candidatus Scatousia excrementigallinarum
Lineage: Bacteria
Also listed under: 2 other names
Rfam family: transfer-messenger RNA
About the family: Bacterial tmRNA, also known as 10Sa RNA or SsrA, is named for its dual tRNA and mRNA-like properties. Its role is to liberate the mRNA from a stalled ribosome.
Source: RNAcentral